Molecule: ribosomal RNA, 488 nt
Filed under: uncultured euryarchaeote
Lineage: Archaea; Methanobacteriati; Methanobacteriota
Description: bacterial SSU rRNA
Rfam family: Archaeal small subunit ribosomal RNA
Source: RNAcentral
AGGAAUUGGCGGGGGAGCACCGCAACGGGAGGAGCGUGCGGUUUAAUUGGAUUCAACACCGGAAAACUCACCAAGGGAGACCAUCACAUGAAAGCCAGGCUAAUGACUUUGCUUGAUUCUUGGAGAAGUGGUGCAUGGCCAUCGUCAGUUCGUACUGUAAAGCGUUCUCUUAAGUGAGAUAACGAACAAGACCCUCACUUAUAAUUGCUACUCGUCUGUCCGCAGACGAGGCACAUUAUCGGGACCGCUGGCGCUAAGUCAGAGGAAGGAGAGGUCAACGGUAGGUCAGUAUGCCCUGAAUCUCUUGGGCUACACGCGCGCUACAAAGGGCGGGACAACGGGUCCCUACACCGAAAGGUGGAGGCAAUCUCGAAACCCGUCCGUAGUUCGGACUGAGGGUUGUAACUCACCCUCACGAAGCUGGAUUCCGUAGUAAUCGCGAAUCAACAACUCGCGGUGAAUAUGCCCCUGCUCCUUGCACACACCGC